GGACGACCUCGCAAAGCUUCAGAAUAAGAAUGCUCAUCAAUUAGCAAUGGAAGUCAUUCGCAACUACGUGGCUGCUCAACAAAAUGGGAGGAAUGAAUGAUUUGGUAAGAGAGAUCAUUUAAAUUUUGUCGCCUUAGAAGUUGAUGUUAAAAGGGUGAACGAGUGUAAUAGUGUACUCAUUCUCUCCUUGGGCUUGUUACUGUUUUGUAACAGCUGGAAUGAAUGGAUGCUGCUGGAUUUGGUUUAAUUUUGUACCCAAAGUUAAUUGUUUGUCUGCAUGAGCUUUGUAUUUACCGUUUUCUUGGAUUUUUGUAACUUAUUUUAAGAUUGGUUCUAAUAAAAU
This 343-nucleotide unclassified non-coding RNA is filed under the name Hevea brasiliensis (rubber tree). The record is from RNAcentral. Lineage: Eukaryota; Viridiplantae; Streptophyta; Magnoliopsida; Malpighiales; Euphorbiaceae.